UGGAUCCAGACUUUGAUUCUGGCUCAGGACGAACGCUGGCGGCGUGCUUAACACAUGCAAGUCGAACGGAGAACUUAUUUCGGUAAGUUCUUAGUGGCGAACGGGUGAGUAACGCGUGGGCAACCUGCCCUCCAGUUGGGGACAACAUUCCGAAAGGGAUGCUAAUACCGAAUAUGCUCCCUCCUCCGCAUGGAGGAGGGAGGAAAGAUGGCCUCUGCUUGCAAGCUAUCGCUGGAAGAUGGGCCCGCGUCUGAUUAGCUAGUUGGUGGGGUAACGGCUCACCAAGGCGAUGAUCAGUAGCCGGUCUGAGAGGAUGAACGGCCACAUUGGGACUGAGACACGGCCCAAACUCCUACGGGAGGCAGCAGUGGGGAAUCUUCCGCAAUGGACGAAAGUCUGACGGAGCAACGCCGCGUGAGUGAUGAAGGUCUUCGGAUUGUAAAACUCUGUUGUUAGGGACGAAAGCACCGUGUUCGAACAGGUCAUGGUGUUGACGGUACCUAACGAGGAAGCCACGGCUAACUACGUGCCAGCAGCCGCGGUAAUACGUAGGUGGCAAGCGUUGUCCGGAAUUAUUGGGCGUAAAGAGCAUGUAGGCGGGCUUUUAAGUCUGACGUGAAAAUGCGGGGCUUAACCCCGUAUGGCGUUGGAUACUGGAAGUCUUGAGUGCAGGAGAGGAAAGGGGAAUUCCCAGUGUAGCGGUGAAAUGCGUAGAUAUUGGGAGGAACACCAGUGGCGAAGGCGCCUUUCUGGACUGUGUCUGACGCUGAGAUGCGAAAGCCAGGGUAGCAAACGGGAUUAGAUACCCCGGUAGUCCUGGCCGUAAACGAUGGAUACUAGGUGUAGGAGGUAUCGACCCCUUCUGUGCCGGAGUUAACGCAAUAAGUAUCCCGCCUGGGGACUACGAUCGCAAGAUUGCAACUCAAAGGAAUUGACGGA
Molecule: ribosomal RNA, 939 nt
Filed under: uncultured Bacillota bacterium
Lineage: Bacteria; Bacillati; Bacillota
Description: bacterial SSU rRNA
Rfam family: Bacterial small subunit ribosomal RNA
Source: RNAcentral